RNAcentral lists this ribosomal RNA (399 nucleotides) under uncultured bacterium. RNAcentral's name for it is "bacterial SSU rRNA". It matches the Rfam family "Bacterial small subunit ribosomal RNA", at positions 30 to 429 of the family's 1533-position model. The record is from RNAcentral.
AUUGAACGCUGGCGGCAUGCUUUACACAUGCAAGUCGAACGGCAGCACGGGUGCUUGCACCUGGUGGCGAGUGGCGGACGGGUGAGUAAUACAUCGGAACGUGUCCAGAAGAGGGGGAUAACGCAUCGAAAGAUGUGCUAAUACCGCAUAUGCUCUGAGGAGGAAAGUAGGGGAUCGCAAGACCUCACGCUAUUCGAGCGGCCGACGUCUGAUUAGCUAGUUGGUGGGGUAAAGGCCUACCAAGGCGACGAUCAGUAGCGGGUCUGAGAGGAUGAUCCGCCACACUGGGACUGAGACACGGCCCAGACUCCUACGGGAGGCAGCAGUGGGGAAUUUUGGACAAUGGGGGCAACCCUGAUCCAGCCAUUCCGCGUGAGUGAAGAAGGCCUCGGUUGUAAG